UGAAGAAACAACCAUAUAUUGGUGAAUUGUAAUUAAGGUUAAGUCAACGUUAAACAACAAUAUUCAUGGCUAAAUCACAACCCCAGAACUAUGGGUUUUAACCACUCAUGAUAAUAUCAAACAAUUUCAUAAGUAUUGGAUAAUUGAAAAUACUAACAAAAGAUGAAGAAAAAUGAGAUAUCCUCGCUCCCGAAUCGUUAUCGUGUCUAUUUUUCCUUCAAAGUGGCGUCUCCCCUCUCAAAAUAGGCUUAGUUUUGCUUUUAUACGAGUUGGGUAGGUCUAGGGCCGAAAUAACCUUGUCCCGGGCAAAGUUGGAGAAAUUCCCGUCACCAUCGUCCAAGGCAGCGUGGGGCGUUGGUGCUGGCCUGCUAAACAUUCUAUAAACGGCGCCAUAGGUGGCGUGGGGUGCUGCCUGUGACGCUGGAAUUCAGCAUUUCCCAUUUUUUCUCCAUUUUGGUUCUAAUCUCGCACCUUUUGCCCCCUAUUAUCUCCAGAUGAUUCCUACACAUAAAAACACCACAAAUUAACAUAAAUCAAUACAUUUUACAUUCGAAAUCCAAGAAACACGAGUAAAACAUGAGGCGAUAUACAUAUAAAUAUAUAUACUUUAAGCUAAAUAUCAAUACCCCACACUUAGACUCUUGCUCUUCCUCGAGCAAUGGGACUAUCAACUCCACCCCAACAACGUACACAUCUCAACUAGAGAGGAGCACUUCAAUUUUUAACCAUACACUCUACCCUUGACUAUGAACGAUACCGGCAAUCAAGCAUGAACAAACAAAAUUCAUAUUCUUCCCGUUUUAAACAUGCCCAAGUCUAUCCUUUCAAUUCAGUCAAUCCAAACAACCUAUCUGUAACCACCCUACCUCAAGAGCCGAAUCUCUUACCACUAAGCACCCUCAAUUCGCGCACUCACCCAACAAGAGAAGUUUUCAACAUUACCAAUCCUUCAUGACAUCACGUGCCCUCACCAACAAACAAACGAGUAAAUAUAGAAUAGUCCACACAUUCAAGUAUGCCUUUGAACAUAAUUUAAGGACAUCACAC
Molecule: long non-coding RNA, 1047 nt
Filed under: Nicotiana tabacum (common tobacco)
Lineage: Eukaryota; Viridiplantae; Streptophyta; Magnoliopsida; Solanales; Solanaceae
Description: long non-coding RNA (NTAB_LNC006366)
Source: RNAcentral